This is a non-coding RNA of Ricinus communis (castor bean), 119 nucleotides long. NCBI's taxonomy places the organism in Eukaryota, Viridiplantae, Streptophyta, Magnoliopsida, Malpighiales, Euphorbiaceae. The record is from Rfam.
GGGUGCGAUCAUACCAGCACUACUGCACCGGAUCCCAUCAAAACUCUGAAGUUAAAUGUGCUUGGGCGAGAGUAGUACUAAGUUGGGUGACCUCUUGGGAAGUCCUCGUGUUGCACCCC